UAUACUUGGACCCAAGCUCGAGCUUGCUAAUAAACCCUCAUGCGCUUGCAUCGGUGUCGGCUCCUUGGUGGUUUCUCGGAUUCGCAAUCUUGGGCACAACAUUUGGGGGCUCAUCCGGGAUCCAAGAGACCUCCAGGACCCCAUCCAGAGGAUUUCACGCGUGGUUAAGGCCGUGAUCUUCAGGGACAAACUGGAUGGCCACCCUGACCAGGUGCCCAACAUCCUGUUCUGGCAGGACGUGAUCGAGAAUUCCCCUCCUUGGCUAAAACCAUUUUUACCCCCCAAAGUGCACAACUUGGCUGAAGGUAAGGAUAGACUCCGGGUCCACCGCUAGACUCUAGGCGCAGGUCUCCAGGCUGCCGCGCGCAAGCCUGCCCAUCUGGCUGAGGUAUGGUUAUGUAAGACAGGGUAAGGACGAGAGUCCAGCAGCCUUCUUAGAGAGAAUACUAGGAGAGAAGAGCUUGUAGGACUUACAGUAGCAGAAAGAGUCUAGCAACAAACCAAACUAAGUGACCGGCAGACCUGAAACCUAGCCAAGAUCCUGCUGGCCACAACCAUGGAUGACCCACAGGAAAGACGGAGGCACCUCAAGAAGCUGGCUUCAGGGACAGAUGGACCCUGAGAAAGGCACCAAUGGCCAGCUCACCUGGACUCAACUACCACAAGGAUUCAAAAAUUCACCGACCAUCUUCAAUGAGGCCUUACACGAAGACUUGGGUGAGUUCCAUUCCAAGCAUCCUCAUUUGAUAUCCUGUUGGCGGUGGAGGACCAGGACACAUGCCUGCGAAGCACCAGGGACUUGCUCCAAACCAUAGAGGCUCUAGGAUACUGGGCCUCAGCUAAAAAAGCCCAGAUCUGCAGAGCAGAGGAUCCCACAACCGCAAACUGUCCGCCAGGAUGGACAGAGGCAUUUCCCAACAAACAUGAAACAGCACAGACCGUGACCAAGAAACUGCUGGAAGACAUCUUACCGAGGUAUGGUUUUCCUGUUAAGAUUGGAUCAGACAACGGCCCAGGA
Long non-coding RNA from Canis lupus familiaris (dog), 1018 nucleotides. RefSeq lists it as uncharacterized. The transcript is spliced from 3 exons. Lineage: Eukaryota; Metazoa; Chordata; Mammalia; Carnivora; Canidae. The record is from RefSeq and is a predicted model, not a curated record.